GUAAAACAAAAGGUAUCGAAGGAAGUAGAAACAAAAGGUAUCGAAUGAAGUAGAAACAAAAGGUAUCGAAGGAAGUAGAAACAAAAGGUAUCGAAUGAAGUAGAAACAAAAGGUACAGAAGGAAGUAGAAACAAAAGGUAUCGAAUGAAGUAGAAACAAAAGGUAUCGAAUAAAGUAGAAACCAGAAGGUAUCGAACGAAGUAGAAACAAGGUAUCGAAGGAAGUAGAAACCAGAAGGUAUCGAAGGAAG
This is a long non-coding RNA of Epinephelus fuscoguttatus (brown-marbled grouper), 250 nucleotides long. RefSeq lists it as uncharacterized. The record is from RefSeq and is a predicted model, not a curated record. The transcript has 4 exons. Lineage: Eukaryota; Metazoa; Chordata; Actinopteri; Perciformes; Serranidae.